Aegilops tauschii subsp. strangulata is the source of this 2680-nucleotide long non-coding RNA. RefSeq lists it as uncharacterized. The record is from RefSeq and is a predicted model, not a curated record. NCBI's taxonomy places the organism in Eukaryota, Viridiplantae, Streptophyta, Magnoliopsida, Poales, Poaceae.
UCUCUUUCUUCAUUAAUUCCUUGCCACAUCAUCUAUUUUAUCUAGAUAUGUGUGAUGUUACCACAUAUAUUACUCCCACUGCAAGUAGUCUCAACGCUCGAUCGACGUUCGCCUGGGAGUCGUUGAGCGAUGGCUCACAUGUUGAUGUAGAUAGGAUCGCGAGGUGGCGAACCGCGCGUGGGUUGACCCUUUCGUCACGGUCCGAGGCCCGGACCCUUUCUUCGAUGAUGCUUGGGUAAAAGCGUCGCCCAAUGCACGGGCAUGCAACAGGUCGACACGGGCAUAUGCAAACAAAACCGGCCAGCCAAAACGUGCACAAUGUUAGUUUUAAUCUUGAUGUAUGUAUAUGCAUAUUUAGUUUGCUUUCAUCAUGCAUGUAGGAUAGGUUAGAGAGUAGCUAGUCCAGUCAAGCUUCAGCGAAGAUGUGUGGAGAAGGCGAGAUGCCAGGGCGCCGUGUGAUACGGCGAGUACAGUGAGAUGCUGCAAAGCUGCGCGAGGCAGCACGGUCGUGUGAUGCGGCAAGUACAUGAGAGGCUGGAGCCUGACCGGCUAGACGAGGUGGUUAGAGCUGAGAGAUUCACAGAGUUUGUUAGUUGCUUGGCCGAGUCGUGGCUGUUGGAGCGAUUCCAGGACUGGAUAGGGCUGGUAGUGCGUGUAUUAGUGCUUGCAUGGCUUAGUGGGAUUAGUUGCUGAGAGAGUUGGUGGCUAGUGCGUGCGUGGGUCCUCUGUACUGGCGUGAGUUUAGAUCGCAUGGUUGCCGAGUCUUGUAUAAAUACAUUGCAUUGAGUAAUAGAAGUUGAGGCCGUGAGGGCUAUAGGAAAAAUGUAGUCUUUAUGUGCACCAAGGAAGAGUGUUCUGGGCAAAGCCUCGUUGGGUUUCUUCCUUGGAUGUGUGCGUGUGUGUUUUCUGAGUUUCACCAUGUGUGUGUGUGUGUGUUCUUGUGUGAGACAAAGAGAGUUGAGCUGUGAGAGGCAGCUCAAGGUAGUAGAAGAAGCGGCGCUGCAAGGAGAUUCAGCGCCAACAAUUGGCAUCAGAGCCCUGUCGAUCCGUGGCGGUGACUACGGUACCGGCGGCUAUGGUGGCCGGCGUGGCGGUGGCGGAGGCAACGGCUGCGACGGCGGUGGACUCCAUGUGAGGUGGAGGACGCCGACGCGAGGUGAUGGCUGGCGGCGGCGCGAUGCCGCUGGUGGCCGGUUGCGGUGCAAUGCUGCGAGGUGAUGAUGGCGUGGUGAUCGGUGUUGCGAAGGCGCCGUCCACGACAAGAGGUGGCCGCUGCGUGUGGCAGGACGAUGUGGUGAUGGGCGCCGCGACAGCGUCGUCCUCGGCAAGGAGAAGUCGCUACAUUCGGCAAGUGGUUGUGGGUGAUCCGCGUCGGAGAUUGGAGAAUCAAGAUUAAGGGGGAAAAUGUGAGCUUUAAUCUUGAUGUAUGUAUCUGCAUAUUUAGUUUGCUUUCAUCAUGCAUGUAGGAUAGGUUAGAGAGUAGCUAGUCCGGUCAAGCUUCAGCGAAGAUGUGCGGAGAAGGCGAGAUGCCAGGGCGCCGUGUGAUACGGCGAGUACGGCGAGAUGCUGCAAAGCUGCGCGAGGUGGCACGGCCGUGUGAUGCGGCAAGUACAUGAGAGGCUGGAGCCUGACCGGCUAGACGAGGUGGUUAGAGCUGAGAGAUUCACAGAGUUUGUUAGUUGCUUGGCCGAGUCAUGGCUGUUGGAGCAAUUCCAGGACUGGAUAAGGCCGGUAGUGCGUGUGUUAGUGCCUGCAUGGCUUAGUGGGAUUAGUUGCCGAGAGGGUUGGUGGCUAGUGCGUGCGUGGGUCCUCUUUACUGGCGUGAGUUUAGAUCGCAUGGUUGCCGAGUCUUGUAUAAAUACAUUGCAUUGAGUAUAGAAGUUGAGGCCGUGAGGGCUAGAGGAAAAAUGUAGUCUUUGUGUGCACCAAGGAAGAGUGUUCUGGGCAAAGCCUCGUUGGGUUUCUUCCUUGGCUGUGUGCGUGUGUGUUUUCUGAGUUUCACCAUGUGUGUGUGUGUGUUCUUGUGUGAGACAAAGAGAGUUGAGCUGUGAGAGGCAGCUCAAGGUAGUAGAAGAAGCGGCGCUGCGAGGAGAGGCGGCGCUAACACACAAGCCCGGAUGUUUCUUAUGUGCUAAGUGUUAGUAUAAGAUGACUGCAAAUCUUAAUCGGGCUACGUUUUCACACUCAAUGGUGGUGCAGUGUGAUAGAAGUGUUUUAAGCAGAACACUGUUGCGGAUUCUACAACGGGGCGAAAUAUAUCGCAUCUUUAGAAGCUUCGAAGGAGGAGGUGUGGAUCAAGAACUUUCUUGAAGAACUAGGUGUGGUUCCCAGCGCACUGAACCCAAUGGCUCUCUGUUGUGAUAAUAGUGGCAUCGUGGCUCACACAAAGGAGCUAAUGUCCCACCAGAAGUCCAGACAUAUUGAAUGCGAGUAUCACAAUAUUUGGGAUCAUGUAGAUAAGGAUUCUAUGAAAGUAAUCAAGAUUCACAUGAUCUGAACAUGUCAGACCUAAUGACGAAUCCUCUACCACGAGCAAUCCAUGAACAACACCGAAUUGCCAUUGGUGUAAAAGAAGUUAUGUAACUAGAUUAUUGAUUGUAGUCCAAGUGGGAGACUGUUGGAAAUAUGCCCUAGAGGCAAUAGUAAUUGUGUUAUUAUACAUUUCCAAUUUUAUACUUAA